UACAGAGGUCUCAAGCGUUGUUCGGAUUCAUUGGGCGUAAAGGGUGCGUAGGCGGCGCGGUAAGUCGGGUGUGAAAUCUCGGAGCUUAACUCCGAAACUGCAUUCGAUACUGCCGUGCUUGAGGACUGGAGAGGAGACUGGAAUUUACGGUGUAGCGGUGAAAUGCGUAGAUAUUAGGAGGAACACCAGAGGCGAAGGCGGCCGGCUGGACCUGACCUGACGCUGAGGCACGAAGGCGUGGGGAGCGAACGGG
This 253-nucleotide ribosomal RNA is filed under the name uncultured bacterium. RNAcentral describes it as "partial 16S ribosomal RNA". It matches the Rfam family "Bacterial small subunit ribosomal RNA", at positions 524 to 776 of the family's 1533-position model. The record is from RNAcentral.